Molecule: long non-coding RNA, 2808 nt
Organism: Populus euphratica (Euphrates poplar)
Lineage: Eukaryota; Viridiplantae; Streptophyta; Magnoliopsida; Malpighiales; Salicaceae
Exons: 4
Source: RefSeq, a predicted model, not a curated record
ACUUCACUUCGGUAUCUUUAUUUUGCUUCACUCUCUUCUCUCUCUCACACCCCAGCCCAACACAACCGUCAAUGGCGGGGGGGGGGCGGCAUCGACCGCCGUGGUCCACAGGCGUGUAGAAUCAACAACGGCCUCUUCACGAAAUACUAACCCUAACAGAACCCUAACGAUCUCUUCUUCUCUAUAUUCUUCUUCUUCAAGGGCCUCUCUUUCAACUUAGUUCCUCUCUCCCUUCGUUGGCGGAGGAAUCAGGAUAAUAGUUUUUGUCAUUGCUUCCAAAGCUUCCUAACAGAUUGUGAAUUUAGAAAGUUUCCCCAAGUCUGUUUACUGUGUUGGACUGGAUGAGGGAAAUGUUUAUGUGUUGGAGUAUAUGCCAUCUUCUUAUUAAUGUUAACCAUGUCCAUGCUAAGAAAAGAAGCAGUUUGCUUUCUAUAUAUUUAUGUAUGCUUCUGUAAAUAUUCAUAUGCAUGUGAUCGCAUGAAUAGUGCGCUUUAAAUGCUCUAUAGGGCAAUACAUUUAUCAUUGCCAACUCCAAAGCCUACUGGAUGAUAAUGCGAGCAAGGACUAGUUUAAUUCUGACGAGGAGGAUAUGCAUGGAGUGGAGCAUAUAUUAUAGUGAUAAUAGUUUAUUAAUGACCUCUAUUUAAGAGUGUUCUCUGCUUUGUGAUUUUAAAAUAAGCUCAGUGGCAUUUAUGAAUGCAACAAGUAAACGUUCCCAAAUCCCAUCCUUGAGGAAAUUCUUGUGUAUAUUUUCUUCAAUGAAUGUUUUACACCACUGCAGGUAUGUCAAGUCGCCUAUAUUUACUCUCUGUGUUGGUAAUGCUUGGGGAGAAGCAGCCAUGCUUUUGGCCGCUGGUUCAAGGGGAAACCGCUCUGCUUUACCCUCAUCGACGAUCAUGAUAAAGCGGGUAUUUUUGUGAUAGAUGCCAAUUGGGAGAUUUCAAGGUCAAGCAACAGAUGUUGAACUUGCAAGGAAAGAAACAAAGAGUGUGAAAGCAGAAUUGUAGAGCUGUAUGUGGGAUAAUGGUUGCAAUUUUCCAUGAGCCACAACCUCAUCCUGACCUCCUCUAACAAGGUAGCUCGGUGAUCUUGAGAGUUAGGUUGGGUAGCAUGGGCCUCAUCUCAACUUACCUUGUUCUGGGGCACAAUGGGCUUGGUGGGCUUUGCUCCAAACCUCACAGACUGUAUUGGUGGGCAAGGAAAAUACAAAUUCAGGUCGACUGGCGCUAAUGACUGGGUUGGUUUUACACAUUUUACUUGUACAUUUGUAUUACAGGAUACAGAACCUGUCAGAACAAUGCCUGUUUGGCCUGCUCACAGUUGCGAGUGGAAGUUUAAAUGAUAGCCAGCAAAUACAACUGAAGGCUUGUUUGCACAUGUUUGCGUGUGUGUGUGUGUGUGCAAGCACACACUAGGGAGGGAGUUUAUGUUUUGCCUACGGGGGAAGAAACUAGGGGUGUGAGGAGGGAGAACUUUUUGGCUUCCCAAAAGUAACCGAUACUUGAUCUUAAUCAAAGGUUUAGACCCUUGGUUCAAAACAUAAACAAUUUAAUUUCUGGAAGAAAAUGACUUAGAAUAACUUCCACAAUUGAGAAGGCUUUAGAAAUUUGCUCUUUUAUCAAGUGCAUUGUGGCUGAGCAGUGAGCUCACACUUCAACUGCUGCUGCUGUUAUUCUGCAUGGGAAGCUUUAAAAUGCUCGAUUUAUGGCACUUGUGAUUUCUUGCACUACAUUUUUAAAUGCUCGAUUUUCUGAUGGCAGUGCCAAAGUUGAUGUAUUUAGUUAGGUAGUCAUGCGGUGACCACAAGAGUUCAUUGAUCAUGCUCUCUCAUAAAGUGCCGAUCAUUUUUUAGAAAUUUUGAUGCUGAACAUGCUUUUUCAUGGCAUUGCAAUGAAAUAAUUUUUACUUCCAAUGCGUUGAUGUACAAACCAUUUGAACCCUCCAAAAAAUAGAGAUAGAGGAACCAACUCUCUAGAACAUGCACAUUCAAUCACCGCCCUACACCUUUGCAAUCGAUGCACCAACUUUGCAUCAGUCCUGCUCUUCACUAAUUCACUGCUCUUGCUCUUGAGAUCAAGCAUGUUCUGGCAUGAAAUUAAUGCAAUUGCUUGUUCUUUUCAUGGGUACACCACCUCAGCAUUAUUGCUUCAUAUUUCUUACCUGAGACUUCUUCAGUGAGACACUUGGAAAGUGUUUUGACUUUAUCUAAAUUGCUGAUUUGACAAUAUAGUAAGCAUGCGUUGCAAGGUGGAUUUGCUUUUUUUAUUUUCUGUAAAAUUUGUUGGAUCUUGAGAUUCCUAGUGUUCGAAAGAGGCAAUUUGGUGAGUGGUGUUCCUUGUUGUCAGGUAAUAGGAGCUUCAUCCCCUAUCAUACAAGAAAUUUUUCUCUUUUCUCAUCACAGAUUUGCAAGUGGAGGGAGGGGAUGCCCCAUACACAGUUUGGCCCCAGUUAUCAACAUUGCCUCUUCCAUUAUUUGCUUCAAGUGCUUAAAGCCCAUUCUUGAGGGUGAUGUCAUACUUCACAAACCCUUUAUAGUGAUUGUCACCAUCUUCAAACAGGCCUUCAUUCUCUUAGCAGGGAUCUUUGCGUUAUGUGUGCGAACUGUCGAGUUACGAGUGAACCACUGAGCUGAUAAUUGUUGAGAGUUAAAAUUGCUCAUGGUUUUGUACUUAAAAUCCUUUAUUUUUUUAGGUUAUUUUAAAGAGUCUUUGGCUGGAGGAUUGUAGAUUGAAUUGAUGAAAGGCUCUGACAAGCUGUGAACAGAAAGCGUGUUUUGAAGGAGAAACAAGGCUGUGGAGAUGAGAACCC